Molecule: non-coding RNA, 1962 nt
Organism: Urocitellus parryii (Arctic ground squirrel)
Lineage: Eukaryota; Metazoa; Chordata; Mammalia; Rodentia; Sciuridae
Source: RefSeq, a predicted model, not a curated record
CURGAGGAGUGGGUGGUCGGCCGUGUUCAGGACAGACUGGAAAGGCAGGACGGGAGCGGGGGGCUUGGACGCCACCAGCGUGGGGCGGAGGGCGCUCUGCCACCACGCAAGGUCCAGCCCCACUGGUCCCUUUUCUCCCUACAGCUKCUAGGUCCUGAACUGCCUUUUUCUGCCAUGAUGCCCCACCUCACCUUAGGCCCAGAGCUGCAGAGUCAGGUGGUCAUAGACUGAACUUCCGAAAUCAUGAGCCCAAAUAAACCUGUCCUCUGUGUUGUUUUUGUCACAGCAAUGAAAGAGCUAACUAAAACAGAAAUUGGUACUGAGGAGUGGGACGUGGCUGGCUGUGACUGAUGCGACCAUGGGGCUCAGAAGCUUUUGGAGCUGGUUUGUGUGGCAUGGGGGGAGGGGUGUUUGAAGAAUUUAGCGAAGCUGUCGAAAGUUGUAAGCAGAGCUUGAUGGGUGACUGCCAUGAGUUCAGGAGACCUGAACGCAGUGGCACUGAGGUUUCAGAGGAGAGGAUGGGGUCGAAGUUGGACUGGAGGCCAUUCAUAUCAUGUUCUGGCAAAGAAGGGUGUAAAAGAAGACAUUUUUUUGAGAAGAGACCAAAGGGGCAUCCAGCUUGGGGGAGGGGGUGCUAGUAAAUUUUGGGGUUUGUUUUUACCAUGCUCGGCCACCCAGGCCUGCAGAGGAUGCUGCAUCCGUGGUCCCAGCAGGCUUAGCUCCUAGUAGCUCAAGAUGGCGACAGACCUUGGCAUCCAUCACGUCGUGCUGGUGCUGCAGGAAUGAAGGAUGCUGGAGUUUGGGGGUCGUGAAGGCUUCCACCAAGAUUGCAAAGGAAAGCCUGGAGGCCUGGCAGAGUGCAGCAGGGUCAGAGUCCCUGUGGGACGCCCCUGAGAGGCCAAUACAUGAAGAGGUGAGAAGGAAGCCAGAAGCCUCAGUGGAGACCCCAAAGGUGCCAGUAACCUAGGACAUCACUGAGGAAAGCCGCAGGUACGGGCAGAGACAAGCAGCRGAGAGGCUGUGGGGGCCGCAGCCCACAGCCCAGAGAGACCCUCACCCUGCCAAGUGCCCAGGUGCUGGACAUGGAGMUACAGGACUUGCUUGCCCCCCAGGGUUUCGGUCUUGCUUUGGUCUCGUCCCUGUUUUUCCCUUGUGGAAUGGGAAUGUUUACUCUGGGCCAUUACAUAUUGGGUAUAUGUGACUUGCUUUUGACCUUUACAGGGGACAACAUCCAUGAAUUCAUCUGAAGUCUUGGAUGAGAUCUUGGACUUGGACUCGGGGGCAGUGGUAGAACUGCUGAGACCAUGGGGACCCCUGGAAAUGGACCAAUGUAUUUUGCAUUGUGAGAUGGGUGUGAGCUUUUGGGGGCCAAGGAGAGAAAGUUAUGGUUUAAAUAUGAAUGAAGUGCCUCCCAGAAGCUCAUGUGUGAGACAAGGCAAGCGUUUCAGGGGUAAGACGGGGAGAUCAUCAGAGGUGUGACCUUGUCAGUGGAUUGAUCUACUGAUGGACUGCAGGCAGGUGGAAUGUGGCUGGAGGAGGUGGGUCCCUGGGUUGUGACUUUGGGGUUUAUAGUUUGUCCCUAGUGAGUGGAGGUCUUGCUCUACUUACCUGUUACCUGCUUACCUGCUCUAGUUACCUGUCCUGAGCUGCCCUCCUCUACCACACCCCCAGCCAGGAAGUUCUGCCUCACCUCAGGCCUGGAGCUGUGGGGUURCCCAAGGAUGUACUAACCCCUUGAAACUGGGCCCACAUGAACUUUUCCUUCUCCACACUGUGCUUGUCAGGUCUUUGGCUCAUGGUAACAAAAAGGCUGUCUAUGACACACCUCAGUCCCCGGCCAUUUCUCACGUCAAUGCCCACAAUACGGCUGGCGUUCAAUUUACACUCACAACAGUCACUGUGUUGCCAAGAAAAUUCUGUGUGUUCAGGAUAUUUCUUCACUAAAGGCUAGAAAUAAUAAAU